UUGAUGGAGAGUUUGAUCCUGGCUCAGAGUGAACGCUGGCGGCGUGGAUUAGACAUGCAAGUCGUGCGGUCCGCCAUAGCAAUAUGGUGGAUAGCGGCAAACGGGUGAGUAACACGUAAGUAACCUGCCCUCUAAACCGGGACAACCUUGUGAAAACGAGGCUAAUACCGGAUGUGUCUCGAGAGACCUAAGUCUGUGGAGACAAAGAUGGCUUAACUUUGAGCAAUCGGAGUGCUAUCGUUAGAGGAGGGGCUUGCGUCCUAUCAGCUAGUUGGUAGGGUAAUGGCCUACCAAGGCGAUGACGGGUAGCUGGACUGAGAGGUCGGUCAGCCACGCGGGGACUGAGACACGGCCCCGACUCCUACGGGAGGCAGCAGUCGAGGAUCUUGCGCAAUGGGCGAAAGCCUGACGCAGCGACGCCGCGUGCGCGAUGAAGUCCUUCGGGAUGUAAAGCGCUGUUAGUCCGGAAUAACUCUUGGACCGUAAAUAACUGUCCAAGAUUGACUGUACGGACAGAGAAAGCCACGGCUAACUCCGUGCCAGCAGCCGCGGUAAUACGGAGGUGGCAAGCGUUACUCGGAUUCACUGGGUGUAAAGGGCAUGUAGGCGUUCUGUUAAGUUCCGGGUGAAAUCCUUCAGCUUAACUGAAGAACUGCCCGGAAAACUGGCAGAAUUGGGUUCGGGAGAGGGAAGUAGAAUUCCCGGUGUAGCGGUGAAAUGCGUAGAUAUCGGGAAGAAUACCCGUGGCGAAGGCGGCUUCCUAGACCGAAACCGACGCUGAAAUGCGAAAGCUAGGGGAGCGAACAGGAUUAGAUACCCUGGUAGUCCUAGCCGUAAACGAUGGGUACUAGGUAUCCUCGGUUAAACGGGGGUGCCGGAGCUAACGCGUUAAGUACCCCACCUGGGGACUACGGCCGCAAGGUUAAAACUCAAAGGAAUUGACGGGGGCCCGCACAAGCGGUGGAGCAUGUGGUUUAAUUCGAUGCUACACGAAGAACCUUACCAGGGCUUGACAUGCAGGAAGUAGGAACCUGAAAAGGGGACCACCCGUUAAGUCGGGAGCCUGCACAGGUGCUGCAUGGCUGUCGUCAGCUCGUGCUGUGAAGUGUUGGGUUAAGUCCCACAACGAGCGCAACCCUUGCCCUUAGUUGCCACCUUGCCAUUAUUUUAGUGGUAAGAGCACUCUAAGGGGACUGCCUUCUGUAAGAAGGAGGAAGGUGGGGAUGACGUCAAGUCCGUAUGGCCUGUAUGCCCUGGGCUACACACGUGCUACAAUGGGAAAGACAACGGGAAGCUAAGCCGCAAGGUGGAGCAAAUCCCUAAAAAAUUCCCUCAGUUCAGAUUGGAGUCUGCAAUUCGACUCCAUGAAGACGGAAUCGCUAGUAACGGCGGAUCAGCCAUGCCGCCGUGAAUACGUUCCCGGGCCUUGUACACACCGCCCGUCAAGUCACUUGAGUCAAAUGCACCUGAAGUCGCUGACCUAACUCCGAGUAAUCGGAGGUGGAGGUGCCCAAGGUGUGUUUGGCAAGAGGGACUAAGUCGUAACAAGGUAGUCCUAGCGGAAGCUGGGGCUGGAUCACCUCCUUU
Molecule: ribosomal RNA, 1587 nt
Filed under: Candidatus Omnitrophota bacterium
Lineage: Bacteria; Pseudomonadati; Candidatus Omnitrophota
Description: bacterial SSU rRNA
Rfam family: Bacterial small subunit ribosomal RNA
Source: RNAcentral